This 68-nucleotide microRNA precursor is filed under the name Nematostella vectensis (starlet sea anemone). RNAcentral's name for it is "microRNA nve-mir-9426 precursor". Lineage: Eukaryota; Metazoa; Cnidaria; Anthozoa; Actiniaria; Edwardsiidae. The record is from miRBase by way of RNAcentral.
AUGAUGAAGAGUUUGAGGGCUUUGAAAGCCAUGGAAUUGGCUGUUAAAGCUCGGAUAGCUCUUCCGAA